RNAcentral lists this ribosomal RNA (324 nucleotides) under unidentified low G+C gram-positive bacterium. RNAcentral's name for it is "SSU rRNA". It matches the Rfam family "Bacterial small subunit ribosomal RNA", at positions 1169 to 1492 of the family's 1533-position model. The record is from RNAcentral. Lineage: Bacteria; Bacillati; Bacillota.
GAAGGUGGGGAUGACGUCAAAUCAUCAUGCCCCUUAUGACUUGGGCUACACACGUGCUACAAUGGCGUAAACAAAGGGAAGCGAGACCGUGAGGUGGAGCAAAUCCCAAAAAUAACGUCUCAGUUCGGACUGUAGUCUGCAACCCGACUACACGAAGCUGGAAUCGCUAGUAAUCGCAGAUCAGAAUGCUGCGGUGAAUACGUUCCCGGGUCUUGUACACACCGCCCGUCACACCAUGGGAGUUGGAAAUGCCCGAAGUCAGUGACCCAACCGCAAGGAGGGAGCUGCCGAAGGCAGGUUCGAUAACUGGGGUGAAGUCGUAAC